RNAcentral lists this non-coding RNA (207 nucleotides) under Alicyclobacillus acidoterrestris. Lineage: Bacteria; Bacillati; Bacillota; Bacilli; Caryophanales; Alicyclobacillaceae. The record is from RNAcentral. RNAcentral also lists the same sequence under 1 other name.
GAAUCCAUGUUCGAUGAAGGUGUCCGCACGCGAGUUGUGUUUGAGUGCAUGUGCGUGUGGACUUAAUAGGGAAAUCGGUGCAAAUCCGAUGCGGUCCCGCCACUGUGAUGGGGAGCGCUGGCAACUGCCACUGGGUGUCAAGCCUGGGAAGGGUGCUGGGGCGCGAUGAACCUGAGCCAGGAGACCUGCCUUCUUUCGAAAACACCG